RNAcentral lists this transfer RNA (72 nucleotides) under Bacteroidia bacterium. RNAcentral's name for it is "tRNA-Trp". It matches the Rfam family "tRNA". From Rfam's summary of the family: Transfer RNA (tRNA) molecules are approximately 80 nucleotides in length. Lineage: Bacteria; Pseudomonadati; Bacteroidota; Bacteroidia. The record is from RNAcentral.
AGGGAUGUAGUUCAAGGGUAGAACAGCGGUCUCCAAAACCGUCAAUGUGAGUUCGAAUCUUACCAUCCCUGC